UGAGUGUUGGGACGAGACGUGAGGUACGUUCGUAGCGGUCGAUAGAGCUUCCGACCCAGGUUAUCGAUUUAGUUUUUAUCUUACUAUUCGGUUGUUAUAGUUCAGUUAGUUUAUAUGGUUCAGUUAGACGAUCAUACUUGAUGUUUGAAUGUUGUGAGCUGGUUGAAUUUGUGGAAUUGUGGAUUUGGUUUAUGGAUCUUCAGUUUUGGAAUGUUCGUAUACUUUGUGGUUCUCGGAUUUGUAUUUAUGGAUCUACGCAUCGUGGUUUUCUGCCCCUCGAGGUAGUCGGUUUUCAAAAUAGAGUUUCCGUGUGAGAAACAGUUUUCAAAAGAUUUUUGAAUGAUUUUCAUAUAUGAAUGAAUUAGAUUUUAAAAACAAAAGCUUCUGUGUGGGGAGCACUUUCAAAUAGGAUGUUUGUUGUAUUGUGCAUUGCAUCAUCCAGCGCCUAAGGAGUGCUUAGAGACAUGCAUCAUUCUAAGGAUCGUUAGCUGUAUGGGAAUGCAUAUCAUGAUUUGGUUGCUGAUUGGUAAAUGUAGGUUGUGGUUGAGAUCCUGUUGUAUAGCUGGUAGGCCGUGCAAAUACAAAGGAGACUUUGUUCGAGUGGACAGAGGAACUUGGUAUUUGUGGCGGGUCUGUACGUCACGUGGGCCAGGUUUUCAAAAAAAAAUAAUUUUGGUACAUCUUCCGCGACUCUGAGUUUUAAAAAUGGUAAUGGCUUUUAAAUCGGCCCCGGGGCGUGACAUUUAAGCAGGCUAAAACCUCGACCGCAUCCUUCUUAAGACGGGUUCUUUUCAGAUUUUUUUUUUUUUUUUUUGCCUUUUGGGCGAUAGGGCGAGGCGAACUGCGGAGGUUCUCUGAAAGUUUUUUUUUCUUUUUUGUAUUGGGCCACCCGCGAGGCCCGCGAGUCCACGCUCGCAGGCUCGCAGCAUGCGACAGCAACCGUGUUCUUUUGGGCCGAAUUAUUCGCAAAUCGCGUUUAAUUCGCGAAUAAUUACUUUUACCCAAAAAAACGUGACUUUUUUCGAAUUUUUGGAAAAAAUACGAAAACGGCUGUUUUAUUCGGCUUUUCAAAAAUUCGCGAAUAAUUCGCGAAUUAACUAACUAUGCAUGGAAGAGACGAAGAAGAUGACGAUGAAGAAAGAAAAAGGGGGAGAGAGAGAGAGAGAGGGGAGGGGCGAAAAAGGUGAAGUAUGCGCUGGGUAUCGAGAGGACGAGUGCGGAGACGAGACGGAUAUAUUUUAAUCAAAAAANUUAUCGGUUUAGUUUUAUCCCUACUAUUCUGUUGUUAUAGCUUAGUCAGUUUAUAUGGUUCAGUAUUUUUAUUACUUUGGAAUAUGUGGACUUUCAUGAAUAUAAUAAAAGAAUUUCUGGAUUUGGUAAAAUAAAAGGUUUUCUACCCCUCGUGGUAGCUUUUAUAAAAGAUAAAAGUUUUCGCGUAUGGAACAGUUUUUAAAAGGUUUUUCGUGGACUUUUGUUUAAAUAUCGAAUGUAAAACUACGGUGUGAAUGGUGAAUGUAUGAAUGUAUAGCUAUCUGUAUAUUCAUUUAGUUGUGGUUGUAUACUGUUUGUACUUUUGUACUUGUGCGACGCCGUGCAAAUGCAGGGGAGAUUCUGUUCGUGUGAACAGUGGAUUCCCUGUAUUUGUGGCGGAUCUGACAUACUCUGGGGUCAGGUGUUUCAAAAAAAAAAAAAUUUAGUCGUUUUCGCUGUUUUUCCAAACUAAAAAGGGACCCCGGGGCGUGACAAACUCGACCGCAUCCUUCUUAAGACGGGUUCUUUUCAGAUUUUUUUUUUUUUUUUUUUUGUGUUUUGGGGGGAUUUGUUACAAUUGUAAGGAAAUUGAUGUGUAAGUUGAUUUAGACUCACAUGAUCUCAUUCUGAUUCCAUAGUAUGGCGUAAUUGUGAAAAGCCGCGGUGGGAUCGAACCACAAGUGGAACUUCAUCUCCCUGCCGAUGAUCCGGCCGUCUCCGCUGCCCCUGACGUAGACAUUCGUCUGCAACGUAUACGGCCUCCCCGGGGUCGUCCCGAGAAACUCGAUGUCGACCUCGUCGUGGUACCCGGGAUGGACUUGAUUGUUCGAAAGCUGCAACGAAAUUUAAUUUUUUUUUUUCAUUCAAAAAAUAAAAAUUAUAAACCAGCUGCAUUUGAAACUUUNGGAGAGAGAGAGAGAGGGGAGGGGCGAAAAAGGUGAAGUAUGCGCUGGGUAUCGAGAGGACGAGUGCGGAGACGGGACAGAUAUAUUUUAAUCAAAAAAAAAAGUUAAUGACCCGAUUUGGAUUUGAACUCCCGUUUGCGUGUACCCUUAGUAUAGGUAGUCGGUAGGGAUGUAAUGUGUUCCGAGCCAAUUCGUGCCGAAGGGCGGCCCAGCCCGACCCGGUUCUUAAUCCGGGCCGUGCCGUGUCGGCCCGAUUAUAUGAAGUAGGAGGCCGACCCGACCCCCUGGCCGUGCCGGGCCGGGCCGGGCUUCGUGCCAGGCUACCACCUACCUGGCGCCAGGCACAGUUUUUUUUAGAAAUUUUUUUUUCAGAAAAAGAGAUAAUUCGUUUUUAAAUUAUAAUUUGACUUAUAGCUUACUUUAUACAAUUAUACCCAACUUUUUACAAACUAUUGUAUUAAAUAUUUUUAAUACUUUUUUAUUAUUUGAAGAAAAGUUAAUAUUUUUAAAAAGUAAUUACAACAAAUAUAUAAAGUUUGUAUUAAUUAUAUUACAUAAAGUUUUUAUUUUUAAAAAAAAUUUAUUUUUUUUAAGAAAAAGAGUUUGAAUUAUAACUUUUUGACUUAUAAAUUUUAAUUUACACAAUUAUACCUAACCUUUUAAAACUCAUUUAAAAUUUUUAUAAAAUUAAAAAAAUAAAACACAAAUAAUAAAAUUGGUAUUUGAAUUAGUCAUAUUAUAUAAUUACAUUAGAGAAAUAUAUAAAAAUUCAAAAAAUCAAAAAUAUAUUUAAAAUAAAAUGGUAUUGUUUAUACAACCAAUUAACAAACAAUAGAGAAAAAAAAAUUCAACAUAAUUUUUUUCUUCAUUACAUCAUUUUUUCACUUAAAAAAUAAAUAUAUCUGCUAAAAAGCGGUACCAAAUAAAAAAGAAGAGACGCAACAACUAAUAGGCAAUAGCGAGGAGAUCGGGACGAUUGCACCCUAGCAUGCCACAAGUGUAUUUUCAGGUAGUUGAUUCUGUUUCAUCUGAAGAUGUAGACUCAUGACCUCCUUUAUCUUGCAUUCUUAAUUCUCCAGCUCGCCAAUCUUUUAAGCAGACUAAAACCUCGACCGCAUCCUCCUUAAGACGGGUUCUAUAAUCAUCCAAUAUUCUUCCACCGGCACUAAAAACAGAUUCGGAUGCCACUGUUGAAACCUGCACAGUUAGUAGUUCACGUGCCAUGGCAGAAAGCACAGGAUAUGUACUUUCAUGUGUUUUCCACCAGGCUAAAAUAUCCAAUUUAUCUAAUUCAUCUUCAUUAAAAAGAUUUGAAAAGUUGGUUUGCAAGUAAAACUAAAGUUCAUUAAAAAAAUGUGCACUAAAAUCUGUUUGUUUUUGUUUUCUUACUAAAGAUAAAAUCAUAUUUUUACUAGUUUUACCACUGCUACUACUACUGCUGCUUUGUAACUGUAAAGAAUAUGGUCGCUUAUUACCCGAAGCAAUUGCAUAAAUACUAUACAUUUCACAUAAAGUACUAUCUACUAUUUGAAAAAUAUUUUUCCUAUUUGAAUAAUUUGUUAAAUUAAUUUCUAAAAAUUCAUUAUAUUGUCUAAGAGCAAUUUCUACUCCGUUUAAUUUAAUUCUAGGAUCCAUUAUAAAGGCUAAAAGAUGUACAAUAGGAAUUUUUUUCCAAUAUUCUUUAAAUUUAGAUUCCAUCAUAAAAACAAUUUGAACUAAAAGAGGAGAAUUUCUAUAUUCAGUAAAAUGACUACUAAUAAGUAAAAUUUGAUUAAGAAAAUGACAUGAAGUAGGAUAAUACACACCUGAUAAAAGUUUGGUUGACUCAUACAAUGGUUGCAAAAAAGACAUAAGAAUUUGUUCAAUAUCCCAUUCUUCAUUAGUUAUGGGAUUAUGUUGCAUUUUCUCAUUACAAAAAAUAGAUAAAAUAUUUCUAUACUCAUAACAAUAUUGCAACAUUUUAUAUGUAGAAUUCCAUCGGUGUUGAACAUCAAAAAUAAAUUUUUUAUACUUUUGGCCCAUUUGUCUACAUAAGCUUUUAAAAUCUUAUUUUUUUGGACUAGAACUAUGAAUAAACAUAAUACAAUCUUUUAAUUUUUUUAUUUGUGGACUAAUUAUUUUUAAUCCCUCAUGGACACACAAAUUUAUAAUAUGACAUGCACAUUUAUUAUGAAAUAAUUUUGAAUUUAAGAUGGGAUGCAAAUUAUUUUUCAAAAUUUGAACCGCGGUUCUAUUAUUGCUAGCAUUAUCGAAACUAAUUGAAAAUUUUUUUUGGCUAAUGUUAUAAAUUAGCAAAACAUUUUCAAUUGCCUGAGCAAUAUUAAUACCAGUAUGUGGAAACUCAAGUUCUUGAAACCCAAUAAUUCGUUUUUGUAAAAUCCAAUUAGAAUCAAUCCAAUGUGCAGUAACACAUAUAAAACUACGCUUAUUUCUUGACGUCCAAAUAUCGGAAGUGAAAAUUUUGAAUUCAAAUUUUCUAAAUUAAAAUCAAAUUUUGUCUAUAUUCAAGAAAUGCUUUUAUUGAAUCUUUGCGACUAGUAUUUCGAGAAGUUUUUUAUAAGCGGGAUUUAAAGCUGUUUUCACAUAGUGUUCAAAAUAUAGACAUUCGGCAAAUGUAUAUGGUUGUUCAGCUCCUACAAUAUAUAAUGCAAGUUCUCUUCUAUUACGUUCAUGAGAAUAUUGAAAUGUACUAACUCCACUAGAAGUAAAAGCAAGUUGAGAUUGUUUUGUCUCUUUACCUUCUUUUACCUGGUGUUUCUGAAUAUGUCUGUUAAGAUGACCGGUUCCACCAGAACUAUCACAAGAAUAAUGAAUCUCACAUAUAGUACAAAUAGCUCGCAUACCUUGUCCUUCAAUAUUUUUGAUAUUGAAGUAUUUCCAUACUUCACUUGUUCUCCGUUUAGAUGCUUUUUUAGAACUUGCAUCUAAAUUUGGUUUAGGUUGCGAGCCGUCAUCACCUUGUGUAGAACCACCGGCUCCAGUUUCUGAUUGAUUACUAACAUAAUACUCAGGAUUAUAAUCAAUGCAAGAAAAAUCUAUGUGAGAAAAUUCACCCGACAUUAUUAUAAAAAAUAAAUACAAUAAUACCAAAAAAAAUUAAAUAAAAAUAUUUUAAAAAUUAAAAACUAAAACAAUAAGAGAUUAAUUAUAGUGUUGAAAUUAAAAUUUUGUAUGGUGAAAUUGUGAAGAGACUUUGUAUAAAAAAAAUUUAUUAAAAAAUAUUUAAAAUAUUUGCUAAGUAAACUUAAGAGUUGAGAAAGAAAAGAAUUUAAAUUGAAAGUUUAAGAGUAGGAAGAAUUUGUGUUUGUAGAAUAGAAUGAAUGAAGAGUUGUUUGUUGUGAGGAAUUUGAAUGUUUGUAGGAGUAUUUAUAGAUAUAAAAAAAUUAAAAAAAUAUAUAUAAAUAUUUUUUACUUUUUGACCAAAAUGUCCUCUCUAAUAUUUAAAUUUUUGAAUGUUAGUGAGGACAUUAUAGUCAUUUUGAUAAAAAAAAAUAUAUUUUUAAUUUGUUUAACCUUUUCUUUGAAAAAUAAUAAAAAAAAUUCGAAAAAAUAAAUUCACCCAGGCCAUGAGUCCAUGACAUGACUGUUAUGACCCAUCAGCCAUCAGUCACCCACCCAACGGCUUAAUAGCUGUUGGGCCCACUGUCCAAGGGACCUUGGACAUUGGGAGGCCUAUAAAGGAUAGCCUAAAGCCUAGGCUACCUAGCUUAGGCCUGGCUUGACAGUUGACCUAGCUUAGGCUUGGCUUGAACAGGCUUCUUUAUAUCCGGGCCGUGCCGGCCCAGCAGGCAUGUAGGGACUGAGAUUUUUGCAGGGUAGCUAAACUCUCAGUUGACGAUGUUUUUGUGUGUAAUUUAAUUACAAAAGCACUCGUCAAGUUUCGGGCGAAAAUGAGUUAAAACGGAAAUUCUACGCGAUUUCCAAGUUUCACUUAAAGUGAAUAGUAACUCGAUUUUCCGGAGAAGCCGCAGUGAGAAGUUGGCUUCUGGCUCGUACCGGACUCUGUUCAUAGCAGUCCAAUAGCUCGUUUCUGGACUUCUGUUAAAUAUCGAAUGCUAAACAUACGGUGAAUUUUUGAAUGUGUGAAUGUAUGAAUUGCUAAGCUAUCUGUAUCAUUCAUUUAGUUGUAGGCUUGCCUAGACUGUUUGUACCUUUUGUACUUGUGCGACGCCGUGCAAAUGCCAGGGAAGAUUCUGUUCGUAUACUCGGUGAACAGUGGAACUUCCCUGUAUAUGUGGCGGAUCUGACCAUACUUCUCGGGGUACAGGUGUUUCAAAAACAAAAAUUUAGUCGUUUUCGCCUGUUUUUCCAAAACUAAAAAAGGGCACCCCGCGGCGUGACAACUCGACCGCAUCCUUCUUAAGACGGGUUUCUUUUCAGAUUUUUUUUUUUUUUAUUUAGGCCUUUUGAGGCGAAGGCGAGUGCGAACUGCGCGACGGUUCUCUGAAAGUUUUUUUUUUCUUUUCUGUAUUUGGCACCCGCCGAGCCCUGCGAGUCCACGCUGCAGAGCUCGCAGCAUGCAACAGCAACCGUGUUCUUCUGGGAUCCCGAUUAUUCGCAAAUCGCGUUUAAUUCGCGAAUAAUUAACUUUAUUACCCAAAAAAACGCGACUUUUUUCGAAUUUUUUGGGAAAAUACGAAACGGUGUUUUAUAUCGGCUUUUCCAAAAAAUCGCGAAUAAGAUUCCGCGAAUAACUAACUAUGCAUGCGGAGAGACGAAGAGAAGGAUGACGAUGAGAAAGGAAAAAGGGACGAGAGAGAGAGAGGGAGGGGCGAAAAAGUGAAGUAUGCGCUGGGGACGUUAUCGACUGAGACGAGUGCGGAGACGCGGACAGAUUAUAUUAUUACAUCAAAAAAAAAAGUUAAUGACCGAUUUGAUUGAACUCCCGUUCGGUUCUGUACCCUUGUAUAGGUAUCAGGUAGGAGUAUGUGUUUCCGCAGCCAAUUCGUGCCCGCUAAAGGGCGGCCAGCCCGACCGGUUCUUAAUCCGGGCACCGCUGCCGUGUCGGGCCCCGAUUAUAUUUGAAGUAAGCAGGCCCGGCCGGCCCCUGCCCGCAGCACGGGCCGUGCGGGCCGGCCGCGGCUUCGUGCCAGGCUACCACGCUACUGGCGCCAGGCCCACUUUUUUAGAAAUUUUUUUUUCUAGAAAAAGAGAUAAUUCGGUUUUUAAAUUAUAAUUUGACUAUAUAGCCUUACUUUAAUUACAAUUAUACCCAACUUUUUACAAACUUAUUGUAUUAAAAUAAUUUUAAUGAACUUUUUAUUUAUUUGAUAGCAAAAGUUAAAUAUUUUAAAAAAUAAUUACAACAAAUAUAUUAAGUUUGUUAUUAAUUAUAUUUACAUUAAAGUUUUUAUUUAUUUUUAAAAAAAAUUUUAUUUUAGAAGAAAGAGUUUUGAAUUAUAACUUUUUGAUUAUACAAUUUAAAUUUUACACAAUUUAUACCUAACCUUUUAAAACUCAUUUAAAAUUUUUUAAAAUUUAAAAAAAUAACACAAAUAAAUAAAUUGGUAUUUGAAUUAGUCAUAUUUUAUAAUUACAUUAAGAGAAAUAUAAAAUUCAAAAAACAAUAUAUAUUUAAAAAUAAUGUAUUGUUUAUAACAACAAUUAACAAACCAAUAUGAGAAAAAAAAUUAACAUUAAAUUUUUUCUUCAUACAUCAUUUUUUCACUUAAAAAAUAAAAUUAUCUGCUAAAAAGCCGAGUACCAAAUAAAAAGAAGAGACGCAACACUAAUAGGCACUUAGCGAGGAGAUCGGGACGAUUGCACCCUAGCAUGCCACAAGUGUAUUUUCAGGUCGUUGAUUCUGUCUUCAUCUGAGAUGUUAGACUCAUGACGCUCCUUUUAUCUGCAUCUUAAUUCUCCCAGCUCGCCAAUCUUUAAGCAGACUAAAACCUCGAAAACCGCCAUCUCCGUUAAGACGGGGUUCUAUAAUCGAUCCAAUAUUCUUCCACCGGCACUAAAAACAGAUUCGCAUGCCACUGUUUGAAACCCUGCCACAGUUAGUAGUUCACGAUGCCAUGCAGAAAGCACAGGAUAUGUACUUUUCAUGUGUUUUCCACCAGGCUUAAAUUAAUCCAAUUUAUCUAAUUCAUCUUCAUUAAAAAGAUUUAAAAGUGGGUUUUGCAAGGUAAAACUAAAGUCAUUAAAAAAAAUGUGCACUAAAAAUCUGUUUGUUUUCUGUUUUCUUACUAAGAUAAAAUCAUAUUUUUAAUUUUUACCACUGCUACUACUACUGCUGCUUUGUAACUGUAAAAGAAUAUGGUCGGUUAUUACCCGAAAGCAUAUGCAUAAAUUACUAUACAUUUUCACAUACAGUAUAUCUUACUAUUUGAAAAAUAUUUUUGCCGUUUUCUACCCCUCGAGGUAGUCGGUUUUCAAAAUAGAGUUUCCGUGUGGGAAACAGUUUUAAAAAGGUUUUCGAAUGGUUUUUAUAAAUGAUUGAAUUAGAGUUUAAAAACAAAAGCUUCCGUGUGGGGAGCACUUUUAAAUAGGAUGUUUGUUGUAUUGUGCAUUGCAUCAUCCAGCGCCUAAGGAGUGCUUAGAGGCAUGCAUCAUUCUAAAGAUUGUUAGUUGUAUGGAAAUACAUAUCAUACUUUGGUUGUUGUUUGGUAAAUGUAGGUUGUGGUUGUGAUCCUGUUGUAUCGUUGGUACGCCGUGCAGAUACAAAUGAGACUCUGUCCGAGUGGACAGAGGAACUUUGUAUUUGUGGCGGGUCUGUACGCCGCGUGGGCCAGGUUGAAAAAAAAAAAAAAAAAAAUGGCACGUUUUCCGC
RNAcentral lists this long non-coding RNA (8928 nucleotides) under Ananas comosus (pineapple). Its description in RNAcentral is "long non-coding RNA (ACOM_LNC038674)". Lineage: Eukaryota; Viridiplantae; Streptophyta; Magnoliopsida; Poales; Bromeliaceae. The record is from RNAcentral.